UAUGCACACUGUUAGAGCUCAGAGCUGAGGUCAGUUAUUGGCUGAUGAACUCCUGAGUGUAGGAAGUGUGCUAUAUCAGUCUUGACAAGAUUUUUCGCUAACGCCAUAAGGAUUUUGUGGUCCAAUGAAUGGGGUUUGAUAGUGAUUCUUGCCACAUUU
RNAcentral lists this small nucleolar RNA (159 nucleotides) under Pogona vitticeps (central bearded dragon). Lineage: Eukaryota; Metazoa; Chordata; Lepidosauria; Squamata; Agamidae. The record is from RNAcentral.